UUUUUUUUUUUUCCUUUACUUUGGUUUUUAUGGUUAUAUUCGUCAGUUUGUUUGGUUUCCUGGAAAGUAGAAUUUCUCCUUUUUACUUAUGUCUUCGGUGCCAUAUUUGAUGUUAAUUGAAAGCUCUGAUUCAGUUGAUUAUUCAUUUGCCUAACAUUUCUUCUCCAAUCGAGUCGGUGCCAUAUUUGAUGUAAAGUAUCUAAUACGGCUCAUUUAAGUAUCUUAUAAUAAGCAUGUUAAUAAAGCUUGUACCAUUUUGGUGUCUGGUUGAUUAUUAAUUUAUGUACCUUCUAGCCUAUAUUGAUCAAAGAUUGCCAUUGGUGCUUGAGAUUUUAUGUCCUAAUGCGCAUGGAUGCUUUUAUAAUCUCCUGUGACUGCAUGCAAUUUUUCAUCACAGAUAUUCUGAAAACAAAGAGAAAUUGGAUGAAUUCAAUCAAAGGUUUUGACUAUUUCAGCAUUCUUCCUUGGUAUUAUAGGGUUCAUUAAAUGAAAAAUCCAGGAAAUUUUUUGACCAAAAAAAAAAAAAUUGGGGGUAUUAUCACUUCCUGAAUUUGUGCGAGACUGGAGUGGGUCUUAGUGUCCUCCAAUCAUACUUUUCAUGGUUAUUUUCUGGCUUUUUUUUUCUUUGGAAGAGGGGAAUAUAGCAAUGAAUGAAAUUCCUUUGUGAUAAUAUUCUAUGCUCUAUACUGACAGCUAGGGCGUUGUUCUGGUUUCCAGUGUAAGCACAUCUCCUUUUAUCAGUAAAUAGUACUGCAUAGCUGCCAUGGUAAGUUAUAGCAAAAUAGGAAUAGGUUAUAUCCCUAGUGUAGAAAUGGUAAUAACCAGGGUGUACUUUUAUCUUUUAUCGUUUAUCUUUUGUAGCGAGGAUAAAACAUUGUUGAAGCAUUUUGUUUUGUUGUCAUAACUCCUGAUUGCAGAUGUGGUAACUGAGUACAUUGAAGGUCUAGCUGAAACAUAUCCUGGCCUGCAGUACUUGGAUGGUUUUCCUGAGGUCAAGGUUGUUUUACGUGCUGAUGUUUCGAGUGAUACAUAUGAAAAGGUUGCAAUUAUAUCAGGUUUAUGACGCUGCAAAACAUUUGAACACCAUUUCUUUUCCAGCAUUGGAAUUUUGAACCUAUAUGGCUUGCCACAAAACUCAACGUGGAGGUAGUGGACAUGAACCUGCACAUGCUGGAUUUGUUGGAGAAGGGAUGCUCACAGCUGCUAUUUGUGGAGAAGUUUUUGCUUCUCCACAAGUUGAUUCAAUUCUUGCGGGUAUUCGAGCUGUGACUGGUCCCAAGGGAUGUCUAUUGAUUGUCACGAAUUAUACUGGUGAUCGCUUAAAUUUUGGUUUGGCUGCAGAGCAAGCAAAAUCUGAAGGUUAUAAAGUAGAGACUGUAAUUGUUGGAGAUGAUUGUGCUUUACCUCCAUCUCACGGCGUAGCUGGCCGGCGAGGUCUGGCAGGGACCAUUCUAGUUCAUAAGGUUGCUGGAGCUGCUGCUGCUUCUGGACUUUCUCUUGAUGAGGUUGCUGCAGAAGCAAAACGUGCAUCUGAAAUGGUUGGAACAAUGGGUGUUGCAUUGUCAGUUUGCACCCUGCCUGGUCAGGUUACUUCAGAUCGUUUGGGUCCAGGAAAGAUGGAACUUGGUCUUGGAAUUCAUGGUGAACCUGGUGCUGUUGUGGCUGACCUUCAGCCUGUUGAGGUUGUUGUUUCACAUGUUCUUAAGCAGAUCUUGUCACCGGAAACUAACUAUGUUCCAAUAACACGUGGUAAUCGAGUGGUGCUCAUGGUCAAUGGACUUGGUGCCACUCCUGUAAUGGAGCUGAUGAUUGCAGCUGGAAAAGCAGUCCCUCAGUUGCAACUGGAGCAUGGACUGGCUGUUGAUAGAGUGUAUACUGGGUCAUUUAUGACUUCUCUUGAUAUGGCAGGAUUUUCAAUUUCCAUAAUGAAGGCAGAUGAAGCAAUUUUGCAAUGGUUGGAUGCUGCAACUAAGGCUCCAUUCUGGCCUGCUGGAAUUGAUGGUAAUCGUCCACCUGCCAAGAUACCUGUUCAACUGCCAUUGAAUCACUUGAUGAACAAUGAUGAGUCAAUGGGUCGGCCACUACAGUUAAGUGAGCAGGGACAAAUUCUUGAGGUGUGUAUUGAGGCAGCAGCAAAUGCAGUUAUCGAUCUUAGGGACAGUUUAAAUGAAUGGGAUAGCAAAGUAGGUGAUGGUGACUGUGGAUCAACGAUGUAUAGGGGUGCAACAGCAAUUCUAGAGGACAUGAAAAAGUAUUAUCCCCUUAAUGAUGCUGUGGAAACAGUAAAUGAAAUUGGAUCAUCUAUUAGAAGAGUUAUGGGAGGAACGAGUGGGAUUAUAUACAAUAUAUUUUGCAAGGCAGCUCAUGCACAUCUGAAAUCAAACUCACAAUCAGCUGUGACGUCAAAACAAUGGGCUGAAGCACUUGAAGCUUCAAUUGCCGCAGUCAGUAAGUAUGGCGGGGCUAGUGCUGGCUAUCGCACUUUGUUAGAUGCACUUAUUCCAGCAUCAGCAGUCCUUCAGGAGAGGUUAAAUGCUGGGGAUGAUCCUUUUACUGCUUUUGUUCUCUCAUCUGAAGCAGCAUUGGCUGGAGCUGAGUCAACCAGACACAUGCAGGCACAGGCUGGCCGCUCUACCUAUGUCUCUACAGAUAUCCUUGCAUCAGUUCCAGACCCUGGAGCUAUGGCUGCAGCUGCAUGGUACAGAGCAGCAGCUUUAGCCAUCAAGAACAAAGAGCCUUCAUAAGCUGAUGCAUCUAAUACUCGUUGCAAUUCGUGGUUCUUUUUGGUUGCCGCAGAUAUAACCGAGCUAAUUUUUUGUUGAUUAUUGGAAUCUGUUGUCUAACUUAGGCUUUAUGCUUAUGCAAAAUUUUGUGGUAAAGUUCAGAGAGCAAGUUUCAUUUUUUGCAAUUCUCUAUAGAAAAUGUAAAUUUCAAAGGACAGUGAAAUCAUCAAAUUUCAUACGUUUCAAAGUCUUGGUUGUACUUCGCACCUAUGUAACAUUGGCUUUGAGUAGACCUGGUUAUGAUCCAGAAUAGGACUGUAGGGGGUUCUCGGUCCUGAUUGGAUUUUUAUUUAGUCUUGUAUUGAUCAAAUAUAAAGAUUGAAUUUUUUUUUUUUUCCAAA
RNAcentral lists this unclassified non-coding RNA (3124 nucleotides) under Hevea brasiliensis (rubber tree). The record is from RNAcentral. Lineage: Eukaryota; Viridiplantae; Streptophyta; Magnoliopsida; Malpighiales; Euphorbiaceae.